UCCCUGGUGGCUCAGAUGGUAAAGAAUCUGCCUGCAAUGCAGAAGACCCAGGUUGAAUCCCUGACUCAGGAA
Molecule: transfer RNA, 72 nt
Filed under: Ovis aries (sheep)
Lineage: Eukaryota; Metazoa; Chordata; Mammalia; Artiodactyla; Bovidae
Rfam family: tRNA
About the family: Transfer RNA (tRNA) molecules are approximately 80 nucleotides in length. Their secondary structure includes four short double-helical elements and three loops (D, anti-codon, and T loops). Further hydrogen bonds mediate the characteristic L-shaped molecular structure. tRNAs have two regions of fundamental functional importance: the anti-codon, which is responsible for specific mRNA codon recognition, and the 3' end, to which the tRNAs corresponding amino acid is attached (by aminoacyl-tRNA synthetases). tRNAs cope with the degeneracy of the genetic code in two manners: having more than one tRNA (with a specific anti-codon) for a particular amino acid; and 'wobble' base-pairing, i.e. permitting non-standard base-pairing at the 3rd anti-codon position.
Source: Rfam by way of RNAcentral